AUGAACGCUGGCGGCGUGCUUAACACAUGCCAGUCGAACGGAAAGGCCCAAGCUUGCUUGGGUACUCGAGUGGCGAACGGGUGAGUAACACGUGGGUGAUCUGCCCUGCACUUCGGGAUAAGCCUGGGAAACUGGGUCUAAUACCGGAUAGGACCACGUCUUGGAUGUUGUGGUGGAAAGUUUUUUCGGUGUGGGAUGAGCUCGCGGCCUAUCAGCUUGUUGGUGGGGUAAUGGCCUACCAAGGCGUCGACGGGUAGCCGGCCUGAGAGGGUGUACGGCCACAUUGGGACUGAGAUACGGCCCAGACUCCUACGGGAGGCAGCAGUGGGGAAUAUUGCACAAUGGGCGCAAGCCUGAUGCAGCGACGCCGCGUGGGGGAUGACGGCCUUCGGGUUGUAAACUCCUUUCGCUAGGGACGAAGCGUUUUUGUGACGGUACCUGGAGAAGAAGCACCGGCUAACUACGUG
RNAcentral lists this ribosomal RNA (467 nucleotides) under uncultured bacterium. Its description in RNAcentral is "partial 16S ribosomal RNA". It matches the Rfam family "Bacterial small subunit ribosomal RNA", at positions 29 to 507 of the family's 1533-position model. The record is from RNAcentral.